UACGUAGGGUGCAAGCGUUAAUCGGAAUUACUGGGCGUAAAGCGUACGCAGGCGGCUAUGUAAGACAGGUGUGAAAUCCCCGGGCCUAACCUGGGAACUGCAUUUGUGACUGCAUAGCUAGAGUCCGUCAGAGGGGGGUGGAAUUCCACGUGUAGCAGUGAAAUGCGUAGAGAUGUGGAGGAACACCGAUGGCGAAGGCAGCCCCCUGGGAUGAGACUGACGCUCAUGCACGAAAGCGUGGGGAGCAAACAGG
RNAcentral lists this ribosomal RNA (253 nucleotides) under uncultured bacterium. RNAcentral describes it as "partial 16S ribosomal RNA". It matches the Rfam family "Bacterial small subunit ribosomal RNA", at positions 524 to 776 of the family's 1533-position model. The record is from RNAcentral.